Molecule: ribosomal RNA, 157 nt
Filed under: Striatibotrys atypica
Lineage: Eukaryota; Fungi; Ascomycota; Sordariomycetes; Hypocreales; Stachybotryaceae
Description: 5.8S ribosomal RNA
Rfam family: 5.8S ribosomal RNA
About the family: 5.8S ribosomal RNA (5.8S rRNA) is a component of the large subunit of the eukaryotic ribosome. It is transcribed by RNA polymerase I as part of the 45S precursor that also contains 18S and 28S rRNA. Functionally, it is thought that 5.8S rRNA may be involved in ribosome translocation.
Source: RNAcentral
AAACUUUUAACAACGGAUCUCUUGGCUCUGGCAUCGAUGAAGAACGCAGCGAAAUGCGAUAAGUAAUGUGAAUUGCAGAAUUCAGUGAAUCAUCGAAUCUUUGAACGCACAUUGCGCCCGCCGGCAUUCCGGCGGGCAUGCCUGUCCGAGCGUCAUU